This is a non-coding RNA of Macaca mulatta (Rhesus monkey), 446 nucleotides long. Lineage: Eukaryota; Metazoa; Chordata; Mammalia; Primates; Cercopithecidae. The record is from RefSeq and is a predicted model, not a curated record.
UCUCGCUAGCUUAUCAAUACAAAGUUUAUUUCUUGUUCACAUUAAAGUCCAAUGUGGGCUGUGCUUCCAUAGGUUAUUUUCUCUUGUGUAAUUCCAGAUGAGUUUAUCUUAUAAUGUUGCCACAUUUGCCUCCAAAGUCACUUUAUAAAAGGAAAGUAAAAUCUGAAAUACUGCACAUGAAGGUUUAAGAGCUAGGCUCAGAAAUGAUACACAACUUUCCAACUUACAUUUCAGCACCCAGAAUUCAGUCAAGUGAUCCAGAUCUUACUGCAAAUGAGGCUGAAAAAUGAAGUCUUACGUGUCCAAGAAAAAGACAUAAUAAGGUGUGGAAAAAUAAGAAUGUUCAAAACAUAGUUGGAACAGAGGAAAGUGGUGGAAAAAUUGACUGAUCUCAUGGCACACAGAUGUAUGGGUAUGAUGACCGCAAGAGAACUUGAACCUUAACU